GACGAACGCUGGCGGCGUGCCUAAUACAUGCAAGUAGAACGCACAGUUUAUACCGUAGCUUGCUACACCAUAAACUGUGAGUUGCGAACGGGUGAGUAACGCGUAGGUAACCUGCCUGGUAGCGGGGGAUAACUAUUGGAAACGAUAGCUAAUACCGCAUAAUAUUUAUUAUUGCAUGAUAAUUGAUUGAAAUAUGCUAUUGCAUCACUACCAGAUGGACCUGCGUUGUAUUAGCUAGUAGGUGAGGUAACGGCUCACCUAGGCGACGAUACAUAGCCGACCUGAGAGGGGGGACGGCCACACUGGGAAUGAGACACGGCCCAGACUCCUACGGGAGGCAGCAGUAGGGAAUCUUCGGCAAUAGACGAAAGGCUGACCGAGCAACGCCGCGGGAGUGAAGAAGGUUGUCGGAUCGUAAAGCUCUGUUGUAAGAGAAGAACGGGUGUGAGAGUGGAAAGUUCACACUGUGACGGUACCUUACCAGAAAGGGACGGCUAACUACGUG
This 505-nucleotide ribosomal RNA is filed under the name uncultured bacterium. RNAcentral's name for it is "partial 16S ribosomal RNA". It matches the Rfam family "Bacterial small subunit ribosomal RNA", at positions 28 to 507 of the family's 1533-position model. The record is from RNAcentral.